GUGUAAAACCACAACAAAAUUGAUCACGACGGUGAUCACAGUGAGAAAUGGAGGAAGCCAUGGACAUGGACGCCGAUAAGCUUCGAGCUCAAUUCCUUGAAGUACUGCGGAGCAGACGAUCAGCCGAAGUUCCUCUCUCUGUGAAGCCCGCAAAACCAGUGACAAACCUUUUGUUUCAGGAGGAUUCCCCACCUCCCUUGAGUGAGAGUGAGGCAAUGUUGUCAUGUCCAAGGGCAAACAUUGACAAUUUCAAGGACCUACUGCAAGAGGAAAAUCUUUAUUUGAUUACAGAGGCAGGAGAGCAAGGACAGUUACCAGUAUUAAUUAUAAGCAUGAAGGAAGACAAUGAGCGAAAAAGGCCUGCUGUAGUUUUCCUGCAUAGAACAACUACUUGCAAAGAGUGGUUAAGACCCCUGCUUGAGGCCUAUGCUUCAAGGGGAUACAUAACUAUUGCAAUUGACUCUCGAUACCAUGGUGAACGUGCUAGCAGUAUUACCACCUACAAUGAUGCUCUUAUAUCAUCAUGGAAACGAGGCAAUACCAUGCCAUUCAUAUUUGAUACGGUCUGGGACUUGAUAAAGCUGGCAGAUUAUUUAACAGGCAGGAAGGACAUAGACCCCACUAGGAUAGGAAUCACUGGAGAAUCACUAGGAGGCAUGCAUGCAUGGUUUGCUGCUGUUGCUGACACCCGCUAUUCUGUGAUUGUCCCUGUAAUUGGGGUUCAGGGUUUUCAGUGGGCCAUAGAAAAUGAUAAAUGGAAGGCUAGAGUUAACAGCAUAAAACCUGUUUUUGAGGAAGCACGAAUUGAUUUAGAGAAGAAUGAAAUUGAUAAAGAAGUGGUGAGGAAGGUCUGGGAUAGGAUUGCUCCUGGUUUAGCAUCCGAGUUUGAUUCUCCUUACUCAAUCCCAUCUCUUGCACCACGUCCUCUGCUAAUUCUAACUGGUACAAAAGAUUUUCGAUGCCCGCUAGAUGGUCUUGAUGUUCCCACGUCAAAAACGUAUAAAGCUUAUGAGAAUGCACAAUGUUCAGAUAAUUUUAAAAUCAUUGCACAGCCUGGAAUUGGUCACAGAAUGACUAAGCUAAUGGUAAAAGAAGCUAGCGAUUGGUUUGACAAGUUUUUAAAGUCAUGAUGCUUUUUAAGGAUUAUACAUGAUGAAGGAUGUCCAUGACAACUUGCAGAGGAGGAGACCCUAUCAUUGUUUAUCCCCUAGUUGGUGCGUUUGUUGUAAGAUUGCAGGAGAAUCAACUAAACACUUAUUCCUGGAGCGUCAUUUUGCUAGGGAGGCAUGGGGUAAGGUCUUGGCUGAGUUUGGUGUCCUUUGGUGCAUGUCCUCUACUUGUUCUCAAUUGUUUCUGUGUCGUUUAGAGGGAGGCAAAAUGGUGUCUUGAUUGUGGCAGAGCACCUUGCUAGCGACUUUUUGGGUUUUAUGGCUUGAAAGGAAUAGUAGAAUUUUUUAAGGUGCCUAUAGCUCAGUUGAGGCUAUUUGGGAUAAGAUUAAGUUUUGGAUUGCAAUUUAGGUGUAUAGAACCAAGUUUUUUGCAGGUGGUUUCCUUUUUGGAUCUUACUAGAGAUUGGGGUAAUUUUUGGCUUUAAAGUUGGGGGGAUGGGUUCUGUUGUGGGUGUUUGGGUGGCUUGUUUUGCAACUACGGUAUUUCUCCGCCAAAAGUGAGGGCUCUCAAUAAUGUUGAGAGGAGGUCAGUCUUUGACUAAGGCCUCUGUCUCUUUUUCAAACAAAAAAAAAAAAUUCACCUUUAGUGGAGAACUUAAUGAUUGCAUGCACUUCUAGUAUUAUCUAGACAAAAACUUUGUGUAACCCAUUAUUUUUCAUAUAGUAGAAGUUUUAAGUGUGUAUAGUAUAUUGUCACCUUGUGAGUUUUACCUUCUCAUUGAAGGAUUUGUUGACUUAUUUGAGAUUGUUGAUUAUUAUCUUCACAUAGUAUAGUGUUGUCAAUUGGCUUGUUAUCCUAUCUUUUACUCAUGCAAUGAAGGGAAAUUGUUUGUGUAUUUAUUUUUUAUGUGUUUUUAGUAUUUGUUAUUCUUCCCAAGAAAGUGGUAUCAAAGCGAAGUUGUUUGGAAUUAAUUUCUUGUGUGCUAGAAAUGGAUGGGCCAGAUUUAAACGAAUUAUUAUGUUUGGAAGUGCAUGAUAGAAGACACUUGUUUUAUUGCAAAGAUUUAUACAAGCCAAUUACACUUGGUGAUACGAAACUAGAUGAUAUGUUUCAAGGUGAUUGGAUAGUCCUGCAUAGAAAAGUUGCUGGCACAUUAAAAGAUGGGUUGAUCCAAAUAUCUUUGAAAUAAUAUGUGAUGAAACUGCUUUGAUUAAAAGACUUAUGAAUUAAAAAUAUAAAGAUGGGAGCAACUUAAUUAAGGACAUAAGUUAGAAUCUGAGCAUUAUGAACGUACUGGCUGCCUUGAAGAUCAAUGAGGUUCAAACAUCUAUCUUUACUUCUUAGCUCUUUGCCUGAGAGUUGAGAAACGUUGGUGGUGCAGUUAGCAGUUCGGCUUUAGAUGGGAUACCAACUAUAGAUUUAGUUGAAGACAGUUUGCUAAAUGAAGAUGCAAGAAGAAAAGAGAUGGAUGAAUCUUCUUCUGUGGCACUUUUAGCUUAAAAAGAAGAGACAUGGAAGAAGUCAAAGUAGAAAUUUGCAUAAUCAUUGAAAAAGAGAUUUUAGGGAGAUUUAAGUCUAGAUCGAGGAAGAAUAUUAUUAAGGACGGCGAUGUGGUGGUUGACUGGGAUGAUGCUUGGGUUAUUAUUGCUUGCCAAGAUAGUGAUUGGGUGGUUGACUCUAGUGCAUCACACUACAACAAUUUUGCUCAAAUAUUACAUAAUUUUAGAAGUGCUAUUGAUAUAUGUUAAUAAAAAAAAAGACACGGAUAAAUUUGUUUUUUACAAGUGUAAAAACAAGAAAAUUUUAGGCGGGAAAUGAAACACUUAAGGCGCAUGAAAUUGACAAGAAAAAAGCAAUUGAAAAAAACACUUAUCCCUAAUCUCUCUCUCAAAUCGCAAAUCUCUACCCGUGCAUGCCUCUCUUUCUCUCUCCCCCUCACACUCAAUCUUCGUUUCUCUCUCCCUCGCUCUUUCUCUCAUUCUCUCACAUUCUCUCGGCUUUCUAACCCUCGCGCCGUUGAAGCACACCACGACUACACCCCUGCUGAAGCCUCCCUCACGCCGGUACUCACGCAGCUGAAGCACACCACGACCACGCCCGUGCUGAAGUUGUUGAGUCUCUAGUCCCCUCUUUGUUUAUCUCUCCCGCUGGCUUUGAGCAAGAACAGGAGACCUCUUUUGUCUAUGUGAGGUAAUUUAUGAAAUUAUUGAAACCUGCCGUUCUCAUUUGAUAAUGCCCAAGUGCUUAUCUCCAAUUACUCAACAUGCCAGGUCUUAAUGAGAAAUUAAAAUGCAUGGAGCAACAUUCAAAGUUGGAAGUUUCUUUGAUUAAUAUUCAGGUUCAAGUUAGGACGAACACUUCAGUGAUGUCUCUUGGUCCAAGGACUAGAUAAAGACAAGAUACUUGGGGAGACAAGAUACUUCAGUGAUAUCAAGCAAUCUCUCACGAAAGAUUUUUACUGCAAUAGGUAUGCCUCUUACCUUUGUUUUAAUAUUAUGCAACUGCUAGAGGAGUUUGAAUAUCUUAAAUAUUCAUCCAUAAAUAUUCAUUCAUAAUGAAGUAGGAUCUAAGAAAUUUGUGUGUUGGGGUAAUAACGGAAGGUUAAGAACUUGUAUGUCUGAGUGAAGUAGGAUCUGAGAAAUUUGUAUGCUGUGGUGAGAUAAGGUUAAGAAUUUCUUCCAGUUGGUAUGUUUUGAUGAGGGCACCCCCUAGAGGAUUUUAUGACUUGGAUUACUAUGAUAAGCAUGAGUAUAUGCUAGAGCUGAGCAUUGGGCGGGUUGGUCGGGUUACAAGGCAUUUUUACUCGUCCAAUGUCAUAAUCAGAUUAGCAAAAGUGACUCGUAACUUGCCCAAUUAAAAAAAAAAAAAAAUUUAACCCGUCCAAUAAUUUGGGCGGGUUGGUCGGGUUAACCCGCCCAAACCGAAAUUGUAUUUUUUUUUGGGCGGGUUGGUCGGGUCAACCCGCCCAAACAAAAGUGGUAUUUUUUUUUUUACAUUUUUGUAAUUUUUUUCUUUUAAAUACUAGUACUAAUAGUGUGAAGUUUAUCUUUUUAAGCUUAAAACAAUAUUUUAAAUUUAUAGUAAAAAAAUUAAAACAAAACUUAAUUAAUUUAUAUAUUUAUUUGAAUAUAUUAAAAAUAAUAAAUUCUUAAUUGGGCGGGUUGAUAAUUAUUUUCAACCCGCCCAAUGUAACAAUUGGGCGGUUUAAAUUUUGGUCGGUUUAUUCGGGUUGGUUUGGGCGGAUUAUUCGGGUUGGGUGGGUUGUAAAAAUUUCUGCACAGCCCUAGUAUAUGCCUAUCAUUUCAGAAGAAAAUAUUGAAACUGGGUUGGAUGAUGUACUUGAAGAAAGAUCAAUAUGUGAGAGUGGAUUGUGAGGGCACAUUAGUUUGAAUAGCAAGUUGUUUUUUUCUUAACAGCUGAACUAAUCUUGUAGUACUUACACUUGUUAUUUGGAAUAUCAUAUGAUAUACGUGUUUACCAACACUGAUAUUAGAAUGAUGUACAAAUUUGUUGAUACUGAUAUUAGAAUGAUGUACUUCUUAAAUUCAAGGUAUCUAAUGUGUGUGUAGUUUAACUUUUCUCUUCCAUUUUAGGGUGUCAUUCUUACAUGUAUAUUUAUGUUUUAAUGUUAUAAAGAGAAGUAGUGCUCUGUUUUAAUGGAGGAGGACAAGAAACUGAAAAAAAGAAAGAAGAAAAAGUUGAGCAAGAAUAAGAUAACAAAGACAGAAGUAGGAUGAGUUACAAUCAUUGGCCAUGCUCAAGAUGAUGGCCUUCUCAAAGUUGCAAAUUCUGUAAGAUAUUUCUUGUUCCUCUUUGUUUGGUUUAAGUUUCUUGAUAUGUUUUUUGGACUUGAUUUCAUGUAUUAAUGUUGAGUUAACUAGUUUCAUGCAUUAAAUUAGGUACGAGCAAAAGAUAUGCCUCUAAAAAUGACAUCACAACGAAAUAUGAUAGUAAGAGAAAACUCUUUUGAAGAUAUAGAAACAACCAUGACUCAUAUAUGCUCUACUAAAAGAAGGAGGUCUCAUAGGAAAAACACAUUUGAGGCAGAACAAUCAACACUUCUCAUUAGCUUUUAUCAUAAAUUGGCGAAAGCACCCACUCAAACUCCAUCUACUCCAAUGUUAGAUUCACCAGCAGCCAACACUAGGGAAUCUCAUAAAAUGGUGUUUGGAAAAGAAAACAUUUUAUAAGCUAAUAGUAUGUUUGGCAUUGUUUUCUGUUUUUUGUUUUCAAAAUUUUGUUCUCAGAAAUGAGAACAGAAAACUGUUUUUGUAGUUUUUAAAAAACAAGAGGUGUUUGGUUAAUGUUUUCUAAAAACAAUUUUUUUAGUUUUAUUUUUUUAAAAUUUUAAAUAAAAAAUUAACAAAUAUAUUUACAAAGAGAAAAAUAUUUUAAAAGUUUGUAAUAAAUAAUGAGAUAAAAUAAUUUGAAAGAAAAAAUGAUGGAAAAUAAGAAGUGAGAAAGUUAGGAAAGAAAAUUUGAAAACAACUUUUUGUUGUUCUCAAAUUUUUUUGUUUUUUGUAACUUUGUUUUUAAAAAUUGUUUUCUGAAAACAAUGCUAAACACCCCAACUUGUUUUCAAAAAACAGUUUUUUAGUUAAGGUGCCAAACAUCCUCUAAACUUUCAAAUGAGUAGAAAUUCACCAUAUCAGACUUAAAUUGAAAAACACACCAAACUCCCAUUGAAGAUAAUCGUGGGUCAUUAAUAGCAACAAGAAAGUCACCUCGCCUACAAUCAUUAGGGGCACAAAAUCUAGGAAGCUCAUCAAAAUCAAUUGCUAAUAACUGUGCAGUAGAUCAAGAAGUUGUUGACCAAAUAGAAGAAUGUACCAAAAAGAGAACAAGAGGCCUAACUAUAUAUAGUACAUUCUUCUAUUUGGUCAACAACUUCUUGGUACAUUCUUGGGCCUCUUGUUCUCUUUUUGGUACAUUCUUCUAUUUGGUCAACAACUUCUUGAUCUAUUGCACAGUUAUUAGCAAUUGAUUUUGAUGAGCUUCCCAGACCUCGUGCCCCUAAUGAUUGUAGGCGAGGUGACUUUCUUGUUGCUAUUAAUGACCCACGAUUAUCUUCAAUAGGAGUUUGAUGUGUUUUCCAAUUUAAGUCAGUUAUGGUUGAUUUCUUCUUCUUUGAAAGUUUAGCUUCUGAAAUUUUUUCUUUUCCAAGCACCCUUUUAUGAGAUCUCCUAGUGUUGGCUGCUGGUGAAUCUAACAUUGGAGUAGAUGGAGUUUGAGUGGGUGUUUUUGCCAAUUUAUGAUAAAAGCUAAUGAGAGGUAUUGAUUGUUCUGCCUCAAAUGUGUUUUUCCUAAGAGAUAUCUUUCCAGUGGAGCAUAUAUGAGUCAUGGUUGUUUCUAUAUCUUCAAAAGAGUCUUCUCUUACUAUCAUCUUUCGUUGUGAUGUCAUUUUUGUAGGCAUAUCUUGUGGUAGUACCUAAUUUAAUGCAUGAAACUAGUUAACUCAACAUUAAUGCAUGAAAUCAAGACCAAAAAACAUAUCAGGAAACUUAAACCAAAGAGGAACAAGAAAUAUGCAACUUUGAGAAGGCCAUCAUCUUGAACAUGGCCAAUGAUUGUAACUCCUCCUACUUCUGUUCCUGUUAUCUUAACUUCUUCUUCAUUCUUUUUUUUUAUUGUUUCUUGUCCUCCAUUAAAAUAGAGCACUACUUCUCUUUAUAACAUAAAUAUAUAUUUAUGCAAGAAUGAUACCCUAAAAUGGAAGAGAAAAGUCAAACUACACACACAUUAGAUACCCUGAAUUUAAGAAGUACAUCAUUCUAAUAUCAGUGUUAACAAACUUGUACAUCAUUCUAAUAUCAGUGUUAGUAAACAUGUACAUCAUAUGAUAUUCCAAAUAACAAGUGUAAGUACUACAAGAUUAGUUAGAUUGUCAAGAAAAAAACAUGAUAUUCAAACUAAUGUGCCCUCACAAUCCACUCUCACAUAUUGAUCUUCUUCAAGUACAUCAUCCAACCCAGUUUCAAUAUUUUCUUCUGAAAUGAUAGGCAUAUAAAAUCUUCUAGGGGGUGCCCUCAUCACCACAUACCAACUGGAAGAAGUUCUUAACCUUAUCUCACCACAGCACAUAAAUUUCUCAGAUCCUACUUUACUAUGGAUGAAUAUUUUAAAUAAUCAAACUCCUCUAGCAGUUGCAUAAUAUUAAAACAAAGGUAAGAGGCAUACCUCUUGCAAACAAAAGUAAAAAUCUUUCGUGAGAGAUUGCGUGCACCCCAAGUAUCUUGUCUUUAUCUAGUCCUUGGACCAAUAGACAUCACUGAAGUGCUCGUCCUAACUGAGCAAAACCAACAAAUUUUAUAAUGUGUGUGGGUAACCCAUCCUAAAUUACAAUUAUUUUGUACUACUGAUUAGAGUCUCAACGACUUUAGCAUGGGCGUGGUCGUGGUGUGCUUUAGCUGCGUGAGGGAGGCUUCAGCAGGGGUGUGGUCGUGGUGUGCUUCAACGGCAGGAGUGAGAAAGCUGAGAGAUUGUGAGAGAGAGAAAGAGCGAGGGAGAAAGAAACGUAAGACCGAGUGUGAGGGGGAGAGAGAGAGGCAUGCACUAGUAGAGAUUAGGGAUAAGUGUUUUUUUCAUUUGCUGCCUAAAUUUUUCUUGUUUUUACACUUUUAAAAAACAAAUUUCUCUGUGUCUUUUUUAUUAAUAUAUAUAUCAAUAGCACUUCUAAAAUAAUGCAAUAUUUAAGCAAAAUUGUUGUUGUGCUAAACCCUUUUAGGGGAGGGCUAUGAGAACUAUAAUUGAUUUGAUAAAUCA
RNA transcript from Humulus lupulus (European hop), 7872 nucleotides. RefSeq lists it as uncharacterized. NCBI's taxonomy places the organism in Eukaryota, Viridiplantae, Streptophyta, Magnoliopsida, Rosales, Cannabaceae. The record is from RefSeq and is a predicted model, not a curated record. The transcript is spliced from 18 exons.